AGGAUUUUUGGAGGGAAAAGCAAUAUUACACAAGAAAACCACAUUUUCUCUUGUUUGUUACCAAAAUAUCUAGAGAAGCCAUAUCCACCUGCCUUUUUGUGGCUAACAGGGGUCUGAGCCCAUAAACUGACUGAGGAACAAAUCUUGUCCGUCGGGGGAGAAAACCAGUCAGCUGGGGGUUAAGUGGAUGGGAGGGUGGAGACGCCUCAGGAAAAACCUGCCAGAGCUGUAAAGGGUCAGAGCUUCAAACGGGAGUGAAAAAGCAGGGGGAAGUUAGAACUGAGCUCUCUUGCUUUCAAAUUCAAAAAUUUUCAGAUUUGCUUCAAACGUAUACUUAAGAACUCUAGGGGCCAGCCCUGUGGCCCGGUGGCCGAGUGGUUAAGUUCACACGCUCCGCUUAGAUGGCCCACGGUUUUGCCAGUUUGGAUCCUGGGCACGGACCUAGCACCACUCGUCAGGCCAUGCUGAGGUGGCGUCCCACAUAGCACAACUAGAAGGACCUACAACGAAGAUAUACAACUACAUACUAGGGGGCUUUGGGGAGAAAAAGAAGAAGAAAAAAAGAGAUUGGCAACAGAUGUUAGCUCAUGGCCAAUCUUAAAAAAAAACACCUCUAAUCCGUAAAAAUCUCCAUCCUUGAACUGGAAGGAGAACACGUGCAUGGAAGCGCAUGAAAGCUCUGAAGAGACGCUACCAAACUGACAGGAGAGUUAUCUGCUGGGAAGCCGGAGCAGGCCAGGUGUUCAAGCAAGAGCAGAACAGGACACUGGAUCCCUCUUUCUCCUGGAUCAUCUUCUCUCCUGGAUCACCUUCUCUCCUGGAUCACCCUCUCUCCUGGAUCGCCCUCUGUCCUGGAUCACCCUCUCUCCUGGAUCAUCUUCUCUCCUGGAUCACCCACUCUCCUGGAUCACCCUCUCUCCUGGAUCACCUUCUCUCCUGGAUCACCUUCUCUCCUGGAUCACCCUCUCUCCUGGAUCGCCCUCUCUCCUGGAUCACCCUCUCUCCUGGAUCAUCUUCUCUCCUGGAUCACCCACUCUCCUGGAUCACCCUCUCUCCUGGAUCAUCUUCUCUCCUGGAUCACCCUCUCUCCUGGAUCACUCUCUCUCCUGGAUCACCCUCUCUCCUGAAUUACCCUCUCUCCUGGAUCACCCUCUCUCCUGGAU
Molecule: long non-coding RNA, 1163 nt
Filed under: Equus caballus (horse)
Lineage: Eukaryota; Metazoa; Chordata; Mammalia; Perissodactyla; Equidae
Description: lncRNA (ENSECAG00000050500.1)
Source: RNAcentral